AGUGUGUGUGUUAGUGGAAGCGUCUGGAAAGGCGUGCGAUACAGGGUGACAGCCCCGUACACAAAAAUGCACAUAUUGUGAGCUCGAUGAGUAGGGCGGGACACGUGGUAUCCUGUCUGAAUAUGGGGGGACCAUCCUCCAAGGCUAAAUACUCCUGACUGACCGAUAGUGAACCAGUACCGUGAGGGAAAGGCGAAAAGAACCCCGGCGAGGGGAGUGAAAAAGAACCUGAAACCGUGUACGUACAAGCAGUGGGAGCCUCUUAAUGGGGUGACUGCGUACCUUUUGUAUAAUGGGUCAGCGACUUAUAUUCUGUAGCAAGGUUAACCGAAUAGGGGAGCCGAAGGGAAACCGAGUCUUAACUGGGCGUUAAGUUGCAGGGUAUAGACCCGAAACCCGGUGAUCUAGCCAUGGGCAGGUUGAAGGUUGGGUAACACUAACUGGAGGACCGAACCGACUAAUGUUGAAAAAUUAGCGGAUGACUUGUGGCUGGGGGUGAAAGGCCAAUCAAACCGGGAGAUAGCUGGUUCUCCCCGAAAGCUAUUUAGGUAGCGCCUCGUGAAUUCAUCUCCGGGGGUAGAGCACUGUUUCGGCAAGGGGGUCAUCCCGACUUACCAACCCGAUGCAAACUGCGAAUACCGGAGAAUGUUAUCACGGGAGACACACGGCGGGUGCUAACGUCCGUCGUGAAGAGGGAAACAACCCAGACCGCCAGCUAAGGUCCCAAAGUCAUGGUUAAGUGGGAAACGAUGUGGGAAGGCCCAGACAGCCAGGAUGUUGGCUUAGAAGCAGCCAUCAUUUAAAGAAAGCGUAAUAGCUCACUGGUCGAGUCGGCCUGCGCGGAAGAUGUAACGGGGCUAAACCAUGCACCGAAGCUGCGGCAGCGACACUAUGUGUUGUUGGGUAGGGGAGCGUUCUGUAAGCCUGUGAAGGUGGCCUGUGAGGGUUGCUGGAGGUAUCAGAAGUGCGAAUGCUGACAUAAGUAACGAUAAAGCGGGUGAAAAGCCCGCUCGCCGGAAGACCAAGGGUUCCUGUCCAACGUUAAUCGGGGCAGGGUGAGUCGACCCCUAAGGCGAGGCCGAAAGGCGUAGUCGAUGGGAAACAGGUUAAUAUUCCUGUACUUGGUGUUACUGCGAAGGGGGGACGGAGAAGGCUAUGUUGGCCGGGCGACGGUUGUCCCGGUUUAAGCGUGUAGGCUGGUUUUCCAGGCAAAUCCGGAAAACCAAGGCUGAGGCGUGAUGACGAGGCACUACGGUGCUGAAGCGACAAAUGCCCUGCUUCCAGGAAAAGCCUCUAAGCAUCAGGUAACAUCAAAUCGUACCCCAAACCGACACAGGUGGUCAGGUAGAGAAUACCAAGGCGCUUGAGAGAACUCGGGUGAAGGAACUAGGCAAAAUGGUGCCGUAACUUCGGGAGAAGGCACGCUGAUAUGUAGGUGAAGCGACUUGCUCGUGGAGCUGAAAUCAGUCGAAGAUACCAGCUGGCUGCAACUGUUUAUUAAAAACACAGCACUGUGCAAACACGAAAGUGGACGUAUACGGUGUGACGCCUGCCCGGUGCCGGAAGGUUAAUUGAUGGGGUUAGCGGCAACGCGAAGCUCUUGAUCGAAGCCCCGGUAAACGGCGGCCGUAACUAUAACGGUCCUAAGGUAGCGAAAUUCCUUGUCGGGUAAGUUCCGACCUGCACGAAUGGCGUAAUGAUGGCCAGGCUGUCUCCACCCGAGACUCAGUGAAAUUGAACUCGCUGUGAAGAUGCAGUGUACCCGCGGCAAGACGGAAAGACCCCGUGAACCUUUACUAUAGCUUGACACUGAACAUUGAGCCUUGAUGUGUAGGAUAGGUGGGAGGCUUUGAAGUGUGGACGCCAGUCUGCAUGGAGCCGACCUUGAAAUACCACCCUUUAAUGUUUGAUGUUCUAACGUUGGCCCGUAAUCCGGGUUGCGGACAGUGUCUGGUGGGUAGUUUGACUGGGGCGGUCUCCUCCUAAAGAGUAACGGAGGAGCACGAAGGUUGGCUAAUCCUGGUCGGACAUCAGGAGGUUAGUGCAAUGGCAUAAGCCAGCUUGACUGCGAGCGUGACGGCGCGAGCAGGUGCGAAAGCAGGUCAUAGUGAUCCGGUGGUUCUG
RNAcentral lists this ribosomal RNA (2124 nucleotides) under Escherichia coli. Its description in RNAcentral is "bacterial LSU rRNA". It matches the Rfam family "Bacterial large subunit ribosomal RNA", at positions 319 to 2431 of the family's 2925-position model. The record is from RNAcentral. Lineage: Bacteria; Pseudomonadati; Pseudomonadota; Gammaproteobacteria; Enterobacterales; Enterobacteriaceae.